RNAcentral lists this ribosomal RNA (253 nucleotides) under Segatella copri DSM 18205. RNAcentral's name for it is "Prevotella copri DSM 18205 partial 16S ribosomal RNA". It matches the Rfam family "Bacterial small subunit ribosomal RNA", at positions 524 to 776 of the family's 1533-position model. Lineage: Bacteria; Pseudomonadati; Bacteroidota; Bacteroidia; Bacteroidales; Prevotellaceae. The record is from RNAcentral.
UACGGAAGGUCCGGGCGUUAUCCGGAUUUAUUGGGUUUAAAGGGAGCGUAGGCCGGAGAUUAAGCGUGUUGUGAAAUGUAGGCGCUCAACGUCUGCACUGCAGCGCGAACUGGUUUCCUUGAGUACGCACAAAGUGGGCGGAAUUCGUGGUGUAGCGGUGAAAUGCUUAGAUAUCACGAAGAACUCCGAUUGCGAAGGCAGCUCACUGGAGCGCAACUGACGCUGAAGCUCGAAAGUGCGGGUAUCGAACAGG